Molecule: ribosomal RNA, 756 nt
Filed under: uncultured bacterium
Lineage: Bacteria
Description: bacterial SSU rRNA
Rfam family: Bacterial small subunit ribosomal RNA
Source: RNAcentral
AGAGUUUGAUCAUGGCUCAGAAUCAACGCUGGCGGCGUGCCUAACACAUGCAAGUCGAACGAGAAAGUGGAGCAAUCCAUGAGUAAAGUGGCGCACGGGUGAGUAACACGUGACUAACCUACCCUUGAGUGGGGAAUAACUUCGGGAAACCGAGGCUAAUACCGCAUAACACCUACGGGUCAAAGGAGCAAUUCGCUUAAGGAGGGGGUCGCGGCAGAUUAGUUAGUUGGCGGGGUAAUGGCCCACCAAGACGGUGAUCUGUAUCCGGCCUGAGAGGGCGCACGGACACACUGGAACUGAAACACGGUCCAGACUCCUACGGGAGGCAGCAGUGGGGAAUUUUGCGCAAUGGGGGAAACCCUGACGCAGCAACGCCGCGUGGAGGAUGAAGUCCCUUGGGACGUAAACUCCUUUCGAUCGGGACGAUUAUGACGGUACCGGAAGAAGAAGCCCCGGCUAACUUCGUGCCAGCAGCCGCGGUAAUACGAGGGGGGCGAGCGUUGUUCGGAAUUAUUGGGCGUAAAGGGCGCGUAGGCGGUCGGAUAAGUCUUGUGUGAAAUCUCCGGGCUCAACUCGGAGUCUGCACGAGAAACUAUCUGGCUUGAGUGUGGGAGAGGUGAGUGGAAUUCCUGGUGUAGCGGUGAAAUGCGUAGAUAUCAGGAGGAACACCUGUGGCGAAAGCGGCUCACUGGACCACAACUGACGCUGAGGCGCGAAAGCUAGGGGAGCAAACAGGAUUAGAUACCCUAGUAGUCC